UAAAAGCAAACUAUAUCAGCUUGUGGUUUGUAGUUAUAAAAGGUAUAUCCCAUUACGAUCCCAUUUCCAGUUGACAAAUACUGACUGUAAGAAACAGAAUAACCAAGUAAGAUUAUAAUUCAUAAGGACAAAAAAGCGUGCUUAAUAUUGUGCCAACUUUGGCACCAGCGACAGUUGCUUCAAUGAGUUUACCAUUGCUCAUGUAAGUACACAAGGCAUUCCUAGUGGGAAAAACUGGUUGCAAUGUCACUGAAACACGAUACCUUACCGUGAAAUGCUUACUUACAAGCCCUCAACCAACAAUGCAGUUCAAGAACUAGAGUUAAAGUAUUUACUAAAUAAACUAAAGCAAAAACAAAUAUGUAAAAAGUUUUAACUGGUUGUAAAAGGAUGUUUUCGUCAUUUUAGCUGCAAAGUGAAAAAUAUGUCUUAAAUCAGUUUAAUUUAGCAGACACACUUAUCCAGAGUGACUUACAGUUAGUUAGUGCAUUCUUCUGUCAUAGUGAGGUGGGACAACCACAUCUCUCAGUCAUAGGGAGGUGGGACAACCACAUCGCUCAGUCAUAGGGAGGUGGGACAACCACAUCUCUCAGUCAUAGGGAGGUGGGACAACCACAUCUCUCAGUCAUAGUGAGGUGGGACAACCACAUCGCUCAGUCAUAGGGAGGUGGGACAACCACAUCGCUCAGUCAUAGUGAGGUGGGACAACCACAUCUCUCAGUCAUAGUGAGGUGGGACAACCACAUCGCUCAGUCAUAGUGAGGUGAGACAACCACAUCUCUCAGUCAUAGUGAGGUGGGACAACCACAUCGCUCAGUCAUAGUGAGGUGGGACAACCACAUCUCUCAGUCAUAGUGAGGUGGGACAACCACAUCUCUCAGUCAUAGUGAGGUGGGACAACCACAUCUCUCAGUCAUAGUGAGGUGAGACAACCACAUCUCUCAGUCUUAGUGAGGUGAGACAACCACAUCUCUCAGUCUUAGUGAGGUGGGACAACCACAUCUCUCAGUCUUAGUGAGGUGGGACAACCACAUCUCUCAGUCAUAGUGAGGUGAGACAACCACAUCUCUCAGUCAUAGUGAGGUGGGACAACCACAUCUCUCAGUCUUAGUGAGGUGGGACAACCACAUCUCUCAGUCAUAGUGAGGUGAGACAACCACAUCUCUCUGUCAUAGUGAGGUGGGACAACCACAUCUCUCAGUCAUAGUGAGGUGAGACAACCACAUCUCUCAGUCAUAGUGAGGUGGGACAACCACAUCUCUCAGUCAUAGUGAGGUGGGACAACCACAUCGCUCAGUCAUAGUGAGGUGGGACAACCACAUCUCUCAGUCAUAGUGAGGUGGGACAACCACAUCUCUGUCAUAGUGAGGUGAGACAACCACAUCUCUCUGUCAUAGUGAGGUGGGACAACCACAUCGCUCAGUCAUAGUGAGGUGGGACAACCACAUCUCUCAGUCAUAGUGAGGUGGGACAACCACAUCUCUCAGUCAUAGUGAGGUGGGACAACCACAUCUCUCAGUCAUAGUGAGGUGAGACAACCACAUCUCUCAGUCUUAGUGAGGUGGGACAACCACAUCUCUCAGUCUUAGUGAGGUGGGACAACCACAUCUCUCAGUCAUAGUGAGGUGAGACAACCACAUCUCUCUGUCAUAGUGAGGUGGGACAACCACAUCGCUCAGUCAUAGUGAGGUGGGACAACCACAUCUCUCAGUCAUAGUGAGGUGAGACAACCACAUCUCUCAGUCAUAGUGAGGUGGGACAACCACAUCGCUCAGUCAUAGUGAGGUGGGACAACCACAUCUCUCAGUCAUAGUGAGGUGGGACAACCACAUCUCUGUCAUAGUGAGGUGAGACAACCACAUCUCUCUGUCAUAGUGAGGUGGGACAACCACAUCGCUCAGUCAUAGUGAGGUGGGACAACCACAUCUCUCUGUCAUAGUGAGGUGAGACAACCACAUCGCUCAGUCAUAGUGAGGUGGGACAACCACAUCGCUCAGUCAUAGUGAGGUGGGACAACCACAUCGCUCAGUCAUAGUGAGGUGAGACAACCACAUCGCUCAGUCAUAGUGAGGUGGGACAACCACAUCGCUCAGUCAUAGUGAGGUGGGACAACCACAUCUCUCAGUCAUAGGGAGGUGGGACAACCACAUCGCUCAGUCAUAGUGAGGUGGGACAACCACAUCUCAGUCAUAGUGAGGUGAGACAACCACAUCGCUCAGUCAUAGUGAGGUGGGACAACCACAUCUCUCAGUCAUAGUGAGGUGGGACAACCACAUCGCUCAGUCAUAGUGAGGUGAGACAACCACAAAGAAGUUAGCAGCAAAGUCAGUGCUAGUAGUAAAAUAGUUAUAUUCUGGUUAUCACCAGUCUGACCAGAUAACAACCAGAAUGUUUCCAUGACGUCUUGAUGUCAUGAAGUCUAAGUCUAACUGGUUGUAAUGUGAUAUGACGUCUUGAUGUCAUGAAGUCUAACUAACUGGUUGUAAUGUGAUAUGACGUCUUGAUGUCAUGAAGUCUAAGUCUAACUGGUUGUAAUGUGAUAUGACGUCUUUUCAACCAUAUAAUCAGUUUACAAAUAGCAUACGACGUCACGUGCCAAAUAUUUUCACGUCAACCUAGAGGCUGUGUGUAUAGGAAACAAACAGCAAUCCUUCAUUUCAAUUUGCUACCUUUCUUACCC
Molecule: long non-coding RNA, 2680 nt
Organism: Oncorhynchus keta (chum salmon)
Lineage: Eukaryota; Metazoa; Chordata; Actinopteri; Salmoniformes; Salmonidae
Exons: 3
Source: RefSeq, a predicted model, not a curated record